Molecule: ribosomal RNA, 460 nt
Filed under: uncultured bacterium
Lineage: Bacteria
Description: partial 16S ribosomal RNA
Rfam family: Bacterial small subunit ribosomal RNA
Source: RNAcentral
CCUACGGGUGGCAGCAGUGAGGAAUAUUGGUCAAUGGACGAGAGUCUGAACCAGCCAAGUAGCGUGAAGGAUGACUGCCCUAUGGGUUGUAAACUUCUUUUAUCUGGGAAUAAAAUGUUCCACGUGUGGGUUUUUGUAUGUACCAUCUGAAUAAGGAUCGGCUAACUCCGUGCCAGCAGCCGCGGUAAUACGGAGGAUCCGAGCGUUAUCCGGAUUUAUUGGGUUUAAAGGGAGCGUAGGUGGAUUGUUAAGUCAGUUGUGAAAGUUUGCGGAUCAACCCUAAAAUUGCAGUUGACACUGGCAGUCUGGAGUACAGUAGAGGUGGGCGGAAUUCGCGGUGUAGCGGUGAAAUGCUGAGAGAUCACGAAGAACUCCGAUUGCGAAGGCAGCUCACUGGACUGCAACUGACACUGAGGCUCGAAAGUGUGGGUAUCGAACAGGAUUAGAUACCCCAGUAGUC